RNAcentral lists this ribosomal RNA (330 nucleotides) under uncultured bacterium. RNAcentral's name for it is "bacterial SSU rRNA". It matches the Rfam family "Bacterial small subunit ribosomal RNA", at positions 568 to 898 of the family's 1533-position model. The record is from RNAcentral.
UCCGUAGGCGGUGCGGCAAGUCGGAAGUGAAAUCUCAGGGCUUAACCCUGAGGCUGCUUCCGAAACUGCCGUGCUGGAGUGCGAGAGAGGCGAGUGGAAUUGCAGGUGUAGCGGUGAAAUGCGUAGAUAUCUGCAGGAACACCCGAGGCGAAAGCGGCUCGCUGGAUCGCAACUGACGCUGAGGGACGAAAGCUAGGGGAGCAAACAGGAUUAGAUACCCUGGUAGUCCUAGCCCUAAACGAUCAGGGCUGGGCGUGGGCCUCGUACGGGGCUCGUGCCGCAGCUAACGCGUUAAGUCCUGCGCCUGGGGAGUACGGUCGCAAGGCUGAA